CAGUCGGACGGUAGCACAGAGGAGCUUGCUCCUCGGGUGACGAGUGGCGGACGGGUGAGUAAUGUCUGGGGAUCUGCCCGAUAGAGGGGGAUAACCACUGGAAACGGUGGCUAAUACCGCAUAACGUCGCAAGACCAAAGAGGGGGACCUUCGGGCCUCUCACUAUCGGAUGAACCCAGAUGGGAUUAGCUAGUAGGCGGGGUAACGGCCCACCUAGGCGACGAUCCCUAGCUGGUCUGAGAGGAUGACCAGCCACACUGGAACUGAGACACGGUCCAGACUCCUACGGGAGGCAGCAGUGGGGAAUAUUGCACAAUGGGCGCAAGCCUGAUGCAGCCAUGCCGCGUGUAUGAAGAAGGCCUUCGGGUUGUAAAGUACUUUCAGCGGGGAGGAAGGCGAUGUGGUUAAUAACCUUGUUGAUUGACGUUACCCGCAGAAGAAGCACCGGC
Molecule: ribosomal RNA, 449 nt
Filed under: Pantoea sp.
Lineage: Bacteria; Pseudomonadati; Pseudomonadota; Gammaproteobacteria; Enterobacterales; Erwiniaceae
Description: bacterial SSU rRNA
Rfam family: Bacterial small subunit ribosomal RNA
Source: RNAcentral